This 505-nucleotide ribosomal RNA is filed under the name uncultured bacterium. RNAcentral's name for it is "partial 16S ribosomal RNA". It matches the Rfam family "Bacterial small subunit ribosomal RNA", at positions 28 to 507 of the family's 1533-position model. The record is from RNAcentral.
GACGAACGCUGGCGGCGUGCCUAAUACAUGCAAGUAGAACGCACAGUUUAUACCGUAGCUUGCUACACCAUAGACUGUGAGUUGCGAACGGGUGAGUAACGCGUAGGUAACCUGCCUGGAAGCGGGGGAUAACUAUUGGAAACGAUAGCUAAUACCGCAUAAUAUUAAUUAUUGCAUGAUAAUUAAUUGAAAGGUGCAAUUGCACCACUACCAGAUGGACCUGCGUUGUAUUAGCUAGUAGGUGAGGUAACGGCUCACCUAGGCGACGAUACAUAGCCGACCUGAGAGGGUGAUCGGCCACACUGGGACUGAGACACGGCCCAGACUCCUACGGGAGGCAGCAGUAGGGAAUCUUCGGCAAUAGACGAAAGUCUGACCGAGCAACGCCGCGUGAGUGAAGAAGGUUUUCGGAUCGUAAAGCUCUGUUGUAAGAGAAGAACGGGUGUGAGAGUGGAAAGUUCACACUGUGACGGUAUCUUACCAGAAAGGGACGGCUAACUACGUG